CGGCGCCCUUGCCCACAUCAGCAGCCAACCUGGUCCUAGCAAAGUCCAGCGGGUAGACAAAGCAAAGGGAGGUGGCCCCAGCGGCCCCACCGGACGCCAGGUUACCCCUCCAGAAGGAGAGGAAGCCCUGCUCCUUAGGGAUUCUCACCACACAAUCAAUGAUCCCUUUGUACUGCUUCUCAGCACUGAUCUGUUUGCUGGCAUGCUGGACCUGGUGGAGGGGAGGGUGGGUGACAGAGGACAGGCAGGGUAGAGAGAAGGGAAGAGGACAGGAGAAAAAAAAAGGUUUGCACUUCCUAGAUUUUUUUUUUGAAGAAAAAAAGGAUGAGGAAAUCAAAUGGAUACUGAGGACGUGUAAAUGGAUACUGUUAUCCAUGUUAGUUACUGGAUAACAAGCCAAAAUAAUCCAAUGUUGCUUCAAUUAUUAGGGUAUUUGAGGGAAAAGGUAUUGCCCCAAAUAAACUGAAAAGGUGAUUGAAUUAUAUAAAGCUAUAGCCAUUUAUUUAUUUCACUUUCCCUAGGUUUGAGAACUGUAUGAGGGGCUUACUGGGGGACAGAAAUGAGUAACACUCCCUGCUUCAAAGGGCUUUGGAUUUAAUAGACAUGAUGGCCAAAAAAUGACAAUUUCUCAGUGUCACUCUGAUCACCCUGGAGAUGAGGAUCUCUACUAGAUGCUCUAAUAGAGGAAGGAGAAUAAAUCCACUAAACAUUAGGCCUCCAAAGUUUUCAAGCAGAUAAUCCAAGUAAUCAAUUAUUAAGGGUUUGCUGCCGUUGUGAGCAAUUUGUGGGGGUUUUGUUGUUAGUAAUUCUGACUCCCAAAUUGGGCUCUUCCUCAUUGAGGGGCCCUGACCUUUUGGGCAGGUGGAGGAAAACACGAGAGGAUGAUAAACCAUUCAGCGACCAGGUAGGGGAGGAAAAGAUUUGGAGACAGGAUGAUCUGAGUUUAUUCCGAAAAUUGUUUCUUAAUAUUUCAAAACCUCAGCUUCAUCUGUAAAAUGGAGAAGAAUAACUCUCUCACAGAGGUUACAUAAAGAUGAAGGCGUCAGCCUACAUACAGCAUUGUGCAUGAGAUACGAUAAGGGAAUUCUUGGGUGAUGAUUAUUUUGAUGUUUUUAUUGUAAAGGUGCGUGCGCAUAAGACGGUGCCAAAAAUACUGGCAAUCACUAGGUGCCUCCGGGCCUGAGUGCACGCCCGUGCUGUCACGGGCGCAGGAUCUGGCACACGUAAACCGGCUCCGGGUGGGUUUCCAUAUAUAGACACCCGAACGCCGGGCGCCACCCGACACCAGGAAUCUGCGACUGACGCUGGACCUGUCUCUACGCAGAGGGCACCUUCUUC
This 1338-nucleotide long non-coding RNA is filed under the name Homo sapiens (human). RNAcentral describes it as "HSALNT0082053". Lineage: Eukaryota; Metazoa; Chordata; Mammalia; Primates; Hominidae. The record is from RNAcentral.